CAAGUCGAGCGAACAGAUAAGGAGCUUGCUCCUUUGACGUUAGCGGCGGACGGGUGAGUAACACGUGGGUAACCUACCUAUAAGACUGGAAUAACUCCGGGAAACCGGGGCUAAUGCCGGAUAACAUUUAGAACCGCAUGGUUCUAAAGUGAAAGAUGGUUUUGCUAUCACUUAUAGAUGGACCCGCGCCGUAUUAGCUAGUUGGUAAGGUAACGGCUUACCAAGGCAACGAUACGUAGCCGACCUGAGAGGGUGAUCGGCCACACUGGAACUGAGACACGGUCCAGACUCCUACGGGAGGCAGCAGUAGGGAAUCUUCCGCAAUGGGCGAAAGCCUGACGGAGCAACGCCGCGUGAGUGAUGAAGGUCUUCGGAUCGUAAAACUCUGUUAUUAGGGAAGAACAAAUGUGUAAGUAACUAUGCACGUCUUGACGGUACCUAAUCAGAAAGCCACGGCUAACUACGUGCCAGCAGCCGCGGUAAUACGUAGGUGGCAAGCGUUAUCCGGAAUUAUUGGGCGUAAAGCGCGCGUAGGCGGUUUCUUAAGUCUGAUGUGAAAGCCCACGGCUCAACCGUGGAGGGUCAUUGGAAACUGGGAAACUUGAGUGCAGAAGAGGAAAGUGGAAUUCCAUGUGUAGCGGUGAAAUGCGCAGAGAUAUGGAGGAACACCAGUGGCGAAGGCGACUUUCUGGUCUGUAACUGACGCUGAUGUGCGAAAGCGUGGGGAUCAAACAGGAUUAGAUACCCUGGUAGUCCACGCCGUAAACGAUGAGUGCUAAGUGUUAGGGGGUUUCCGCCCCUUAGUGCUGCAGCUAACGCAUUAAGCACUCCGCCUG
This 836-nucleotide ribosomal RNA is filed under the name Staphylococcus cohnii. RNAcentral describes it as "bacterial SSU rRNA". It matches the Rfam family "Bacterial small subunit ribosomal RNA", at positions 58 to 875 of the family's 1533-position model. Lineage: Bacteria; Bacillati; Bacillota; Bacilli; Caryophanales; Staphylococcaceae. The record is from RNAcentral.